UGCCAGCCGCCGCGGUAAGACGGAGGGUGCUAGCGUUGUUCGGAAUUACUGGGCGUAAAGGGCGCGUAGGCGGCCAGGCAAGUCGGAUGUGAAAGCCCGGGGCUCAGCCUCGGAACUGCAUUCGAAACUGCUUGGCUAGAGAACGGAAGAGGAGAGUGGAAUACCCAGUGUAGAGGUGAAAUUCGUAGAUAUUGGGUGGAACACCGGUGGCGAAAGCGGCUCUCUGGUCCGGGUCUGACGCUGAGGCGCGAAAGCGUGGGGAGCAAACAGGAUUAGAUA
RNAcentral lists this ribosomal RNA (279 nucleotides) under uncultured bacterium. RNAcentral describes it as "partial 16S ribosomal RNA". It matches the Rfam family "Bacterial small subunit ribosomal RNA", at positions 506 to 784 of the family's 1533-position model. The record is from RNAcentral.